This 303-nucleotide long non-coding RNA is filed under the name Homo sapiens (human). RNAcentral's name for it is "HSALNT0319949". Lineage: Eukaryota; Metazoa; Chordata; Mammalia; Primates; Hominidae. The record is from RNAcentral.
CUUGUAUUGUGCUUCCAAAUUCCCAUCUUUUUGAGGUAGCAUGGUGUAAUGAGCCAUGUGUAGCUGUGUAGGAAGAAGCAUCCCUGUCUGGUUUACCACUGUUAUCAAGGGAAUAAAGUAUCACUGCUGCCCAACAAGAAGUGUUCAGCACACAGACACAUAAAGAGACUUGAGCCACUGGAGCACAUUGAGGGAGAUUAGAGGACUGAGAGAUACAAUAGGAGGAAGGCGCAUGAUAUCGAGAAAAGAGAACCUGAGUCUUUGAAGUAAUCCCCUCUGACAACUCGUUUUGACACAGAGCUG